Molecule: ribosomal RNA, 397 nt
Filed under: uncultured bacterium
Lineage: Bacteria
Description: partial 16S ribosomal RNA
Rfam family: Bacterial small subunit ribosomal RNA
Source: RNAcentral
AUACGUAGGGGGCAAGCGUUAUCCGGAAUGACUGGGCGUAAAGGGCGUGUAGGCGGCGGUGUAAGUCUGGAGUGAAAGUCCCGCAUUCAAUGUGGGAAUUGCUUUGGAUACUGCAGUGCUAGAGUGCGGAAGAGGUAAGUGGAAUUCCCAGUGUAGCGGUGAAAUGCGUAGAGAUUGGGAGGAACACCAGUGGCGAAGGCGACUUACUGGGCCGUAACUGACGCUGAGGCGCGAAAGCGUGGGGAGCGAACAGGAUUAGAUACCCUGGUAGUCCACGCGGUAAACGAUGAAUGCUAGGUGUUGCGGGUAUCGACCCCUGCAGUGCCGGAGUAAACACAAUAAGCAUUCCGCCUGGGGAGUACGGCCGCAAGGUUGAAACUCAAAUGAAUUGACGGGG